Long non-coding RNA from Aethalodelphis obliquidens (Pacific white-sided dolphin), 754 nucleotides. RefSeq lists it as uncharacterized. The record is from RefSeq and is a predicted model, not a curated record. NCBI's taxonomy places the organism in Eukaryota, Metazoa, Chordata, Mammalia, Artiodactyla, Delphinidae. The transcript is spliced from 3 exons.
ACAACAAAUCAUCCCAAAAUUGAGGCAGUGGAAUUUGGGAGCAAUGAGGCUUUUACAGCACUGAGCACAGCAGCGUGAUAAGUUCAAGAUGGAUGAGAGGUCUGCAUUUCUUUGGUAUGACAUGGAAAAGGAGCAACUUUGAAAGGAUAAAUAACCCGAAAUGGAACUGCUGGAUCAUGUAGUAGUUCUACAUUAAAAGAUCCUUUGGCUGUUGUGUGGAGAAAGCAAUUUCUGGGAGAAGAGUGGAUGCAGAAUCAAACAUGGAGCCUGUUGAGAUGGUUCAGUUAAGACGUGAACUUAGACCAGGGAAGGGAAGUGAAAAUGGAAGAAAGUGAAAGCACUGGUUUUGAAGAUUGAACUAACAGACUUGAUGGGAAAGGAAGCAGUGAAGAAAAUGAAGAAAAUAAAGCUGACUCAUAAUUUUUGAGUUUGACCAACUGUGUGAUGAGAAUGACCAGAGGGUUGGAUAUGGGGGUGGACAUCAACAUCUAGUUUUUUGGAAAUAUAAAGUGUGAAAUGUCAAAGUUGUCAGAAGGAUAUAUGAAUUUGAAGCUUGGAAACAGCAACAGCUAGAGCUAUAAAUUUAGAAAUCAUCUCUAUUUAUAGCCAUUAAAUUGGAAUGCUUCAUAACUUGGUUCUCAACCCUGCUUUUUUCAGAAUUUUAUCAGUGACUCUGGAAAAAGGUAUAAGCAAAAUCAUGGUUUAACAGUAAUUUAAGACACUGAAAACACUCAAAAAUAAGAAAAUAACUCAA